UACAGACUUGUGCUGCAGGGGUGGAAAUAACUUUAAAAUUGCUAGUGUACUCAGGUACAGUGCCACAUGCAAAAUCACUUGCCCGAUCAUUUUUCCACUAUACCGGCCGUUUUCUUGUUGAUUUUUUAAAUAAAAAACAUGAUUAAUAUUGGAAAGUCAACUUGACACCGGUACAGCAUGAUAUACAAAAUUAC
Haliotis rubra (blacklip abalone) is the source of this 194-nucleotide long non-coding RNA. RefSeq lists it as uncharacterized. The transcript has 3 exons. NCBI's taxonomy places the organism in Eukaryota, Metazoa, Mollusca, Gastropoda, Lepetellida, Haliotidae. The record is from RefSeq and is a predicted model, not a curated record.